This is a long non-coding RNA of Corapipo altera (White-ruffed manakin), 1823 nucleotides long. RefSeq lists it as uncharacterized. The transcript is spliced from 3 exons. The record is from RefSeq and is a predicted model, not a curated record. Lineage: Eukaryota; Metazoa; Chordata; Aves; Passeriformes; Pipridae.
AAACAGAGGGAGCCGAAACAGGAACUCAGUGGCACAUCCUUCACUCAGGUUUUAGUUUAAAUUUGACAGAAACCUGAUAAAAUUCCAUUGUUUGCUGUGCAUCCAGGCAUCUGUGAGUUACUUGCACUGAACUGCUUUAGCAGGGACUGGGAAACAUAAGGCAAAACUUCAGAAAAUAUGCCAAAUGUCCUGGGAAUACUGAUCACAGGGAAUGCUGCCCCUGCCUGGUUUAUUUGGAAUUUGUUUGUUCCAAAUGCACACGAAGCAUUUCAGCAUUUUAACUCCUCUGGAAUAACAUCCAGGCAGGGAAUUCCACGUCAGAACCCCCCCUUUGCUCCCCAUCCAGCAGCAAUUCCCAAACAUCUUUGCCCAAUGGAUUAUUACCAUUAGGCUUUUCAAGUCAGGAACCCCAAUUUUCCUAUAAAAUCACACAAGUACUUGGAAUUCUGAUUUACUACAGCUUUUAAACCACUUACUGCAUGAGAAAAAAAAAACAAAACAACAACCCUUAGGAUCUGGAAAAAUUUUAGGCAUUUUUAAUACAGUAUUUUAGGCAGAUGCAAUAAAAUUUGGGCCCACCCCUGAGUUCAAUUCUUAGAUUAACUCAUGGUCUGAAGGUUUUUCACCUCUUGCAUGGCUGCUCAUGCUAAAAACUUCCCUAAUCACGGCUUUAAGCAGAAACAGGAGCUUAGUUAGGAAUUUUAGAGUUAGGAAUUUUCCAGCCUUUUAAGCAAUAAUAAGGUCAGACUCAAACACAAAUCAGAUUUGGAAAGGAGGGGUUUUUUUCAGAAAACCAGGGCUAUUUUCCAGUGGGAUUUGUUGCAGAGUUGCUGUCACUGUAGAUGACAAUUAAUUUCAAACUGAUCACUGUGUACAGACCUUUGUUUGUUGAGCAGUGUCAGCACUUGGGGCACAGAAACCCCAAAUAUUGGCAGGUGAUGAGUGUGUUUCUGGUCCUCUGUGACCCUCCUUUCUCCCUCACCAGGACCACUCUCUGCUUUAUCUAUUUUCUGAAGCCUGCAGAGUCAUAAUUACUUUUUUUUGGGGGGGAGGGGAAGCAAUAAAAACUGUGCUGUAGUAUCAGUGUUCUUGUGGCAAAUAAUUUAUUUCUGAACACGUGACAUGGCAGGCUUCUAAAAAACAGAGGGGUUUGGGUUCUGAGAUGUAAGAACAAUCAUAGAACAAGGCAAAUAUCUCUCAAAGAGCUCUCAGGAUCUGCCCACAGAACAAUCAAAUCCCAGAUCCUAAACCCAUGGCACAGCUGUAGUUGUACCUGUUUCUGGAAAUACAAGAGCAUCCUUCCCUCAGUUACCCAAUUCUGUAUCUUCAGCUAUUUAACAAAAAAAAAACAAAACCUCUUAUUUUUUAAAAACUUCGAGCUUAACAUCCAUCCUUAGAACACUGACAUCUUGUCUAGAGAGUGUUGUCCCCAAAACCUCACUUUUAUACCUAAAAAAAUAACCCGUCCUCCGAUCCCACCCGAACCCCACGUGCAGCUGUUGGAAAAGAGCCAAACUCAAUCCUGACCACAAGGGAAUGAAGGCACUGCUGAAACCUCCCCCCCACCGUGGUCCUGGAGGUUUCUGCACCUCUUGUGGUUUGUCUCUAGGAGACACUGUGGAAUUCUGCCAGGCAAAAUCCCUGGGAACAGGAGCUGCUCCAUGGACAGGAUGUCACCGUAGUCUCCUCCCCGUGUAGUGGAUGUGUCCAGAUUAAUUAUGUUCAUGCAAUUGCAAAAUUCUGUAUUGUUGUCUCUUAGAAGUGUAAACUACUGAAAACUGGGCCUUGCUGAUAUGAAUAAAGUGAUUAAAAACUGGUCUUUA